RNAcentral lists this transfer RNA (72 nucleotides) under Camelus dromedarius (Arabian camel). It matches the Rfam family "tRNA". From Rfam's summary of the family: Transfer RNA (tRNA) molecules are approximately 80 nucleotides in length. Their secondary structure includes four short double-helical elements and three loops (D, anti-codon, and T loops). Further hydrogen bonds mediate the characteristic L-shaped molecular structure. tRNAs have two regions of fundamental functional importance: the anti-codon, which is responsible for specific mRNA codon recognition, and the 3' end, to which the tRNAs corresponding amino acid is attached (by aminoacyl-tRNA synthetases). tRNAs cope with the degeneracy of the genetic code in two manners: having more than one tRNA (with a specific anti-codon) for a particular amino acid; and 'wobble' base-pairing, i.e. permitting non-standard base-pairing at the 3rd anti-codon position. RNAcentral also lists the same sequence under 1 other name. The record is from Rfam by way of RNAcentral. Lineage: Eukaryota; Metazoa; Chordata; Mammalia; Artiodactyla; Camelidae.
GUGGGUGUAGCUCAGUGGUAGAGCGUGUGCCCAGCACACACAAGGUCCUGGGUUCAACCCCCAGCACCUCCA